Non-coding RNA from Brassica rapa (field mustard), 234 nucleotides. NCBI's taxonomy places the organism in Eukaryota, Viridiplantae, Streptophyta, Magnoliopsida, Brassicales, Brassicaceae. The record is from RefSeq and is marked provisional.
UGAUUUAUGUUUUGUUGAUCUUGUUCUGGUUUGAUUUUGAACAGCUUAGUGUUGCUCUGUAAUGGAUGCAUAACCAGUAGAUAUGUCAGGAUAUUAAAAGGAACCGUUAUUUUGCCUCGUGAUAGCGAUGUUCCUUCGAAUCUUCUGACAUAUCUACUGCUUAUGCCACCAUUACAGAACAGCAACAAGCUGUUCAGAACCAAACACAGAACAAGAACAGCGGAACAUAAAAUC